RNAcentral lists this ribosomal RNA (497 nucleotides) under uncultured bacterium. RNAcentral's name for it is "partial 16S ribosomal RNA". It matches the Rfam family "Bacterial small subunit ribosomal RNA", at positions 28 to 507 of the family's 1533-position model. The record is from RNAcentral.
GAUGAACGCUGGCGGUGUGCCUAAUACAUGCAAGUCGAGCGAACAGACGAGGAGCUUGCUCCUCUGACGUUAGCGGCGGACGGGUGAGUAACACGUGGAUAACCUACCUAUAAGACUGGGAUAACUUCGGGAAACCGGUGCUAAUACUGGAUAAUAUAUUGAACCGCAUGGUUCAAUAGUGAAAGACGGUUUUGCUGUCACUUAUAGAUGGAUCCGCGCCGCAUUAGCUAGUUGGUAAGGUAACGGCUUACCAAGGCAACGAUGCGUAGCCGACCUGAGAGGGUGAUCGGCCACACUGGAACUGAGACACGGUCCAGACUCCUACGGGAGGCAGCAGUGGGGAAUCUUCCGCAAUGGGCGAAAGCCUGACGGAGCAACGCCGCGUGAGUGAUGAAGGUCUUCGGAUCGUAAAACUCUGUUAUUAGGGAAGAACAAAUGUGUAAGUAACUAUGCACGUCUUGACGGUACCUAAUCAGAAAGCCACGGCUAACUACGUG